GUUGUAAUUUGAAGAAGGUAUCUUUGGGCCCGGCUCUUGUCUAUGUUCCUUGGAACAGGACGUCACAGAGGGUGAGAAUCCCGUGCGAUGAGAUGACCCGGGUCUGUGUAAAGUUCCUUCGACGAGUCGAGUUGUUUGGGAAUGCAGCUCUAAGUGGGUGGUAAAUUCCAUCUAAAGCUAAAUAUUGGCGAGAGACCGAUAGCGAACAAGUACAGUGAUGGAAAGAUGAAAAGAACUUUAAAAAGAGAGUGAAAAAGUACGUGAAAUUGUUGAAAGGGAAGGGCUUGAGAUCAGACUUGGUAUUUUGCAUGCUGCUCUCUCGGGGGCGGCCGCUGCGGUUUACCGGGCCAGCAUCGGUUUGGAGCGGCAGGAUAAUGGCGGAGGAAUGUGGCACGGCUUCUGCUGUGUGUUAUAGCCUCUGACGA
RNAcentral lists this ribosomal RNA (425 nucleotides) under Candida albicans. Its description in RNAcentral is "partial large subunit ribosomal RNA". It matches the Rfam family "Eukaryotic large subunit ribosomal RNA", at positions 142 to 573 of the family's 3401-position model. The record is from RNAcentral. Lineage: Eukaryota; Fungi; Ascomycota; Pichiomycetes; Serinales; Debaryomycetaceae.